GAUGAACGCUGGCGGCGUGCCUAAUACAUGCAAGUCGAGCGAACGGACGAGAAGCUUGCUUCUCUGAUGUUAGCGGCGGACGGGUGAGUAACACGUGGAUAACCUACCUAUAAGACUGGGAUAACUUCGGGAAACCGGAGCUAAUACCGGAUAAUAUUUUGAACCGCAUGGUUCAAAAGUGAAAGACGGUCUUGCUGUCACUUAUAGAUGGAUCCGCGCUGCAUUAGCUAGUUGGUAAGGUAACGGCUUACCAAGGCAACGAUGCAUAGCCGACCUGAGAGGGUGAUCGGCCACACUGGAACUGAGACACGGUCCAGACUCCUACGGGAGGCAGCAGUAGGGAAUCUUCCGCAAUGGGCGAAAGCCUGACGGAGCAACGCCGCGUGAGUGAUGAAGGUCUUCGGAUCGUAAAACUCUGUUAUUAGGGAAGAACAGAUGUGUAAGUAACUGUGCACAUCUGGACGGUACCUAAUCAGAAAGCCACGGCGAACUACGU
This 496-nucleotide ribosomal RNA is filed under the name uncultured bacterium. RNAcentral describes it as "partial 16S ribosomal RNA". It matches the Rfam family "Bacterial small subunit ribosomal RNA", at positions 28 to 506 of the family's 1533-position model. The record is from RNAcentral.